RNAcentral lists this unclassified non-coding RNA (259 nucleotides) under Xylariaceae sp. RNAcentral describes it as "partial contains 5.8S ribosomal RNA, internal transcribed spacer 2, and large subunit ribosomal RNA". Lineage: Eukaryota; Fungi; Ascomycota; Sordariomycetes; Xylariales; Xylariaceae. The record is from RNAcentral.
CGCAUAUUGCGCCCAUUAGUAUUCUAGUGGGCAUGCCUAUUCGAGCGUCAUUUUCAACCCUUAAGCAACUUAAGCUUAGCGUUGGGAGUCUGCGUCUUACAGCGCAGUUCCCUAAAGGCAGUGGCAGUGUUAGGUGCACUCGUAGCGUAGUAAUUCUUUUCUCGCUUCUGUAGUGUCGCCUGGCGUACUUGCCGUUAAAAACCCCCAUUCUAAAAAAAAGGUUGACCUCGGAUUAGGUAGGAAUACCCGCUGAACUUAA